This 499-nucleotide ribosomal RNA is filed under the name uncultured bacterium. RNAcentral's name for it is "bacterial SSU rRNA". It matches the Rfam family "Bacterial small subunit ribosomal RNA", at positions 899 to 1397 of the family's 1533-position model. The record is from RNAcentral.
ACUCAAAGGAAUAGACGGGGGCCCGCACAAGCGGUGGAGCAUGUGGUUUAAUUCGACGCAACGCGCAGAACCUUACCAGCUCUUGACAUGUCCAUGACCGGCCGCAGAGAUGUGGCUUUCCCUUCGGGGCAUGGAACACAGGUGCUGCAUGGCUGUCGUCAGCUCGUGUCGUGAGAUGUUGGGUUAAGUCCCGCAACGAGCGCAACCCCCGUCCUUAGUUGCUACCAUUUAGUUGAGCACUCUAAGGAGACUGCCGGUGAUAAGCCGCGAGGAAGGUGGGGAUGACGUCAAGUCCUCAUGGCCCUUACGGGCUGGGCUACACACGUGCUACAAUGGCGGUGACAGAGGGAUGCGAAGGAGCGAUCCUUGGCAAAUCUCAAAAAGCCGUCUCAGUUCGGAUUGGAGUCUGCAACUCGACUCCAUGAAGUUGGAAUCGCUAGUAAUCGCGGAUCAGCACGCCGCGGUGAAUACGUUCCCGGGCCUUGUACACACCGCCCGU